This is a long non-coding RNA of Mytilus californianus (California mussel), 331 nucleotides long. RefSeq lists it as uncharacterized. Lineage: Eukaryota; Metazoa; Mollusca; Bivalvia; Mytilida; Mytilidae. The transcript has 3 exons. The record is from RefSeq and is a predicted model, not a curated record.
AACAGAAAACCAUUGUCAGCAUAAUGUUAUGCCGAAAUGGAUUUAGUUACAAAGUCGGAAUCCUAAUUGUUAACUGUUUACAACUAUCUGUAUAUUUGGAUACAUUUACUGCACUUCAAGUCAAUGAUUCUGGGGUGUGCCCGAAACCAAAUGGAGACGGCACAAUUUAUGUGACAUGCUGUCAGGGGUAUUUUUAUGAUCAAGCAGAUGACAGAUGUACAGUGUGUCAUGCAGGGACUUUUGGAGAAAAUUGUAAAGAAAUUUGUGCACCUAACUUCUAUGGUGUUGCGUGUAAUUUUGCCUGUAAUUGUAUGGAUGGCGAAAGGUGAGA